UCAAAUUUGAAAUCUGGCCCUCGGGUCCGAGUUGUAAUUUGUAGAGGAUGCUUUUGGUGCGGUACCUUCCGAGUUCCCUGGAACGGGACGCCAUAGAGGGUGAGAGCCCCGUCUGGUUGGAUGCCAAUCCUCUGUAAAGCUCCUUCGACGAGUCGAGUAGUUUGGGAAUGCUGCUCUAAAUGGGAGGUAUAUGUCUUCUAAAGCUAAAUAUUGGCCAGAGACCGAUAGCGCACAAGUAGAGUGAUCGAAAGAUGAAAAGCACUUUGAAAAGAGAGUUAAAAAGCACGUGAAAUUGUUGAAAGGGAAGCGCUUAUGACCAGACUUGGGCUUGGUUGAUCAUCCGGCGUUCUCGCCGGUGCACUCUUCCGGCUCAGGCCAGCAUCAGUUUGCUUCGGGGGAUAAAGGCUUUGGGAAUGUGGCUCCUUCGGGAGUGUUAUAGCCCACUGUGUAAUACC
RNAcentral lists this ribosomal RNA (455 nucleotides) under Scolecofusariella peltigerae. RNAcentral's name for it is "Scolecofusarium ciliatum partial 28S ribosomal RNA". It matches the Rfam family "Eukaryotic large subunit ribosomal RNA", at positions 109 to 575 of the family's 3401-position model. Lineage: Eukaryota; Fungi; Ascomycota; Sordariomycetes; Hypocreales; Nectriaceae. The record is from RNAcentral.